Molecule: ribosomal RNA, 497 nt
Filed under: uncultured bacterium
Lineage: Bacteria
Description: partial 16S ribosomal RNA
Rfam family: Bacterial small subunit ribosomal RNA
Source: RNAcentral
GAUGAACGCUGGCGGCGUGCCUAAUACAUGCAAGUCGAGCGAACAGACGAGGAUCUUGCUCCUCUGACGUUAGCGGCGGACGGGUGAGUAACACGUGGAUAACCUACCUAUAAGUCGGGGAUAACUUCGGGAAACCGGAGCUAAUACCGGAUAAUAUAUUGAACCGCAUGGUUCAAUAGUGAAAGACGGUUUUGCUGUCACUUAUAGAUGGAUCCGCGCCGCAUUAGCUAGUUGGUAAGGUAACGGCUUACCAAGGCGACGAUGCAUAGCCGACCUGAGAGGGUGAUCGGCCACACGGGAAGUGAGACGCGGUCCAGACUCCUGCGCGAGGCAGCAGUAGGGAAUCUUCCGCAAUGGGCGAAAGCCUGACGGAGCAACGCGGCGUGAGUGAUGAAGGUCUUCGGAUCGUAAAGCUCUGUUAUUAGGGAAGAACAAAUGUGUAAGUAACUAUGCACGUAUUGACGGUACCUAAUCAGAAAGCCACGGCUAACUACGUG